UGGCCGUUCUUAGUUGGUGGAAUGAUCUGUCAGGUUAAUUCCGAUAACGAACGAGACCCCAGCCAUCUAACUAGCUGUUACUACUUCGGUAGUGUUUGCGMAAGCAUAAACAGCUUCUUAGAGGGACUAUCUGUGUCAGCAGGUGGAAGUUUGGGGCAAUAACAGGUCAGUGAUGCCCUUAGAUGCUCUGGGCUGCACGCGCGCUACAAUGGUGCAUUCAGCGAGUUUAACCUUGCUUGAAAAAGCUGGGUAAUCUUUAAAAUGCAUCUCAGUUGGGAUAGAUGAUUGCAAUUAUUCAUCUUGAACAAGGAAUAUCUAGUAAACGCAAGUCAUCAACUUGCAUUGAUUACGUCCCUGCCCUUUGUACACACCGCCCGUCGCUCCUACCGAUUGAAUAAUCCGGUGAAUUGAGUGGGUUGGGGCACAUGUCUCUUUUGAUGAGUGCCCCAAGAAGCUCUGUGAACCUUAUUAUUUAGAGGAAGGACAAGUCGUAACAAAGGAG
RNAcentral lists this ribosomal RNA (502 nucleotides) under Haplosporida sp. RNAcentral's name for it is "SSU rRNA". It matches the Rfam family "Eukaryotic small subunit ribosomal RNA", at positions 1296 to 1822 of the family's 1831-position model. Lineage: Eukaryota; Endomyxa; Ascetosporea; Haplosporida. The record is from RNAcentral.